CUCUGCCUCCAUGUCCUGCCUUCCAGAUGUAAACUUCCCAUGGCUUUGCUGGACUCAGCUCUCAGCAGCUCUUCUGUGUUGGAGCAUCUUGUCUGCAGCUCUCCUAGGCUGGUGUUGCAUGCUGGUAGCUCUGCAGUUCUAGGCAUUGUGGGUGACUCCAUUCCCAUGAUGCCAUGUACAACAAGACACAGAGGUCCCAGCUGGAGAACUUCUGGUUUUAUAGAUCUUAGAAAUUAUACUAUAAAAGCCCAUUUUUAUUCUCAGAGGCUUAAGCUUCUAUCACUUUCCAGAGAGGCAGCAACUCUGGGCCUUCUCCUCUGGGGUAUAUGGAGAGAGGAUUAGACUUUAGGCUAUAGAGUCACAUAGAUUUGAGAAUGAAUCGUAGCCAAUACUGCUAUUUGCUGUGUGACCUUGUGGCAAGUGCCAUAAGAUUCUCUCAGUCUCAGUUUCCUCACUGGUACAAUGGGAAUGAUAAUAUCAAUAUGUCAGAAUGUGAGCAUUAAUGGAGAUAGUGCACAGCAAGUGUUUGCACAGGAUCUGGCACCCAGGAAGCAAUCCACAUUGAUUAUUAAUAGCGACUAUUUAUAAACUACUUUCAUGGAACACAUAGGCAUGUAAGCUGUCAUUAGCUGGUAGGGUCAUGAUGACAUCCCGUGCUCAUUCAGAAGAGACUUCCAGGACUUGUUUUUAUCCCACUGUGAAAGCUUCUUUCAUUUCCUGUUCAUGUGUGUGUUUGUGUGUGUGUGCCUAUAUGUGCUCACUCUGAUCUUUACAACAGUUUCAGGCAUCUUUUAUGUGAAAUGAGACAAUAAGAAUAAUUGUCUCAGAUCUUUUAAAAGCUGAGAUUUUGGUAGAGCACAGAGGAGUAGAAGACAAAGAGGACAGAAAUCAGUGAGAGGAGAAGGGACUCUCAGAACAUACUGAAGUCAAUGUUAGACAUGAAGUUGGAAGAGUGUGGGCUUCCACAUCUCCAGCAAGAACCAUUAAGGCCCUCCCACUCAAGCUGUGCCAUUUCUAAGCCAAUUCUCCCUGAUGAGGCAGCUGCCUCUUAAGCAGUAUUGUUAAAAUAGACAACCCAUCUCCAGGUGCGGGAGGAACUAGGGCCCCAAACUAAAUGGAGUAUUUGUAACAAAAGCUCAUUGUUUGCUAUCUGUUUAGAGCCUGUUUAGUGGUGCCAAUAAUAGGAAAAUCACUUGAUUUACACUGGAAGGCAGUGUUUAGGGAAGAUGACAUUUAUUUUUUAUUAUUUUUUUAAAUUUUUUAUUGUUGGUUGUUCAAAACAUUACAUGUUUCUUGAUAUAUCAUAUUUCACACUUUGAUUCAAGUGGGUUAUGAAUUCCCAUUUUUACCCCAUAUACAGAUUGGGAAGAUGACAUUUAGAAGAAUGGGGAAUGCAAACACGCCAGUGCAUUCCAUUACUCCAUCUUCCUAGACAUGAGGAUACUCUGAAAUCGUCAUUCCCAACUCAUGCUCCGUUCCAUCACUUUUUUGAUGAAAGUGUGGCUUCUUCAUUUGCAGUGUCCUGUCCAUCCUGUGUGCACUGACCGAGCUGGCACAGGGUGUGGUGGAGCAAAGCUGUUCACCUCAUGGCAGCCAGGGAGCAGAGAAAGAGAGAGGAAGGGGCCAGGGUCCCAGUGCCUCCUUCAAGGGCAUACCCCCCAAUGACCUAACUUCCUGCCAGUAGGCAUCACUCCUAAAGAACCCAAGACUUCCCAGCAGUGACAAAAUCUUUAACACAAUUGAGCCUUUGGAGGACACUUCAGGAACAGAACUCUUAAAAAUGGUUGUAAUGUAGUGGCACUCCCUCCUCCACAAAGAAAAUCUUAACUAAGCUUCUCCAGAAAUCUUUACCAUAAUUGAUUUUUAGACUGUAAGCAAAAGAGUCUGUACAAAAAAGUUCAAUGUAGUUAAACUUCCUAUUUUCCUGUUGCUGUAUUUUACUUGGCCACUGUCCUGGAAGAAAUCAGCACUCCAGGUGCUGAAUGCUCCUUUACUAGUUUUCACAAACAUUUAUCCAGUAUAGUAGUUUGUAGAAGUGUGUUUGCAAAUGCAAAAUGCGAUUAAAAAAAAAAAUCCUUUAACAAGGCCUGUGGCCUUGAGCUGGAGCUUCACAGAGAUGUCUACAUUUUUAAGAGAAGUUACCAAUUAGGCUCCAUGGUAACAGCUGGCAGGAGGAGGAAAGAAAGGGGAGAAGAAGCUCUCCCCUUGUCAGGUGUUGUCUUUGAAGGGUUAACUUACCCAGAACAGUGAAAGAAAAAGCUUGCUUUAUGUGAACUUCUGCAGACUGUGAACUUCUGAGCCCCUCCCCUUACAUGCUGGGUAUAAAGUUCCGAAACUACCUGAAUUCGGGGUUCAGGGGAUUAAUUGAUUACAGCAAAAGCUGUGCCCUCUAAACCUGGCUGCAGCCAAAUAAAACUGUUUCCUGCUAUCUUUGGUGCCCUGCCUCGUCUGUCCCUACAACAGUAAUGGUAAACUUUAUUUUGUAUAUUUUAAUAUAAUAAAACUAAUCAGGGUGGUAAGUGAGUACUCCAAAGCACGAGGACAAGUGACCCCUAAAGCCCAGGCCUGGCCCAGGUGUCCUUCCUAGACAUAGCCCCCUGACCCCGUCUCCAGAGCCUGGGUGCCUCUGCUAUGUGAAGAGGCUCAGGAAGGUGUGGGAUUAGAGCAAGUGGAGGUACCGGAUCUGGAGGCACAUCUUACCCAACCUCGAAGAGCAAGAGUGUCUGCCUCAUUUCCAGAAGAGUUCUGU
Molecule: long non-coding RNA, 2749 nt
Filed under: Marmota monax (woodchuck)
Lineage: Eukaryota; Metazoa; Chordata; Mammalia; Rodentia; Sciuridae
Source: RNAcentral